Non-coding RNA from Lutra lutra (Eurasian river otter), 1934 nucleotides. NCBI's taxonomy places the organism in Eukaryota, Metazoa, Chordata, Mammalia, Carnivora, Mustelidae. The record is from the annotation of a RefSeq genome assembly.
ACCUCUCAGGGGCAGACAGCGGCUGAUCAGGGCCAGCCAGGGAGCACCUGCAGACUGCGCAGCUGCUUCCCAGAAGCCAUGCUGUGGACCUAUCCCCUCCUCCACCUCGCCAUCUUCUGUGCCGAGGUCUCACUGGAUAUCGUUUUGGAACCAGACACCAAAACCCUGACUGUUCCAGUCGGGGAGCCUGCCACCUUGCGCUGCAGCUUAAGGGGAGGGGACUUGAAGAACUAUCAGGUGAGCUGGUAUAAGAAGAAUGAAGAUAACUCCCUGACUUUAGUAUACAGACGAAGGACCAUCUAUGACCCUGGUUUUCAUGAAAGGUUCUAAAAUGAAAUUGAUGCUUCCAACGACCAGGCUCUACUUGAGAUCCUUGAAGUCUCAGGGAGAGAUGAAGGCUCUUCCUACUGCACCGGUGACCCCGCUGGAUGUGGUGGAGAAUAUGGAAACAAGCUCUUCUUUGGAAAAGGGACUCGCCUCACCGUGGAAGCACGAAGCCAGCCUCCUGCCAAACCAUUCGUUUUCACCAUGAAAAAUGGCUCCACUGUUGCUUGUCUGGUGAAAGAUUUCUACCCUAAGGAAAUAGACAUAAAACUUGAAGCACCCAAGACUAUAGUAGAAUUUGACCCUGCUAUCGUCGUCUCUCCCAGUGGGAAGUACAGUGCUGUCAAGCUGGGUCGGUAUGAGGAUUCCAAUUCAGUGACCUGUUCGGUUGAACACAACAAUGAAAUCGUGCGCUCCACUGACUUUGAACCAAAGAAGAGUCCUUCAGGUAACGUAAAACCAACAGAACCUGGAAGCAUGGAGCAAACUUCAGAGAACCUCUAUGGGCGCAAAGUUCACCAGAGCUCACAGUUCACAGCCGGGAAGGUGAACAUGCUGUCCCUCACAGUGCUGGGGCUCCGAAUGGUGUUUGCCAAGAGUCUUGCCAUCAAUUUUCUCUUGACUGCCAAGUUAUUUUUCUUUUAAGGCUGACCGGCAUAAGAAGGCUCCAUUAUGAGACUCUCACGUUAUGUCUUCUCAAAAGCCUACAGGGUUGCUGUCUCCUAGGCUUCUGACUUCUUGGUGAUUCAAGUCGACCUCCUGCAGCCUUGUAUAAAUGGCUGCUACCAAACCAGGUUUCCUUCAGAGACAAAAAACCCAGCUCAUUUCCCAGCCGAGUGGAAAGACAAAAGUCCUGGGGAGUUAGGGAGGUUAUUAUUCUCCUAACAGCUCUAUAUGCUGCUUUCUAAAGAGAUAUAGGACUCAUUUUCUUUUUUAUUUUCUACAACUAAUAUGCUUUGGGAAAGGUGUUUUGUUCCUUUGACUUUCUUUGCCUUAGGAAGUAGAGAGUGGGAGCCAAGGAUUCCCAGCUCCAUGGUCUCCAAGGAAAAUAGACCCUGGAGGUCAGAAAGCAGAUGUCCUUUACAUAACAGGAAUGGCUCUGCCCAGCCCAGCACUAGAUUUGCCCCAAGCUGGCAUUCCCAGCCACAAAAGUCCUUUCUGCUUUUCCCAGUACUUUACAAACAAAAUCACAUUUGAAUUCCCAUGCAGCUGGUGGGGUUUCUAAAACAUCAUCCAAAUGCUCUCUGAGCUAUUAGCAAAGAUCAGAGUAAAAUACAGAGAAAAUGCACUUACUUCUAUUAACUGAUUUAACAAACAUGAAUUGACUCUCUCUACGUUCUGGGCACUGUGCCGAGGGUACAAAGAUAAGUAAGAUGUGGGCCUGCUUUCAAGCAGCGAAUUGUGCAAGUGUUUCUGGAGGGAGGGAAGAGGAACAAGACCCCUCGAUUUUGGCUGUAAAAAGAUUAUCUUUCGAGGGGUUUGCCUGCCAGUCUGUGCACAGGGAAUGUGAGGUCGGGGGAUGAUGAUUCUUGCCUGCCCCUUGUUGUUGAUGGUUUUCUGCCUUUCCCGGUGCUGUUCUCUGUUGCAUUUAUUAAAGUGCAUUGAGUGUG